This 478-nucleotide ribosomal RNA is filed under the name uncultured bacterium. RNAcentral describes it as "partial 16S ribosomal RNA". It matches the Rfam family "Bacterial small subunit ribosomal RNA", at positions 28 to 523 of the family's 1533-position model. The record is from RNAcentral.
GACGAACGCUGGCGGCGUGCUUAACACAUGCAAGUCGAACGGUAAGGCCCUUCGGGGUACACGAGUGGCGAACGGGUGAGUAACACGUGGGUGAUCUGCCCUGCACUUCGGGAUAAGCCUGGGACACCGGGUCUAAUACCGGAGAGGACCACUGCAUGCAUGGGUGGUGGUGGAAAGCUUUUGCGGCGUGGGAUGGGCCCGCGGCCUAUCAGCUUGUUGGUGGGGUGAUGGCCUACCAAGGCGACGACGGGUAGCCGGCCUGAGAGGGUGACCGGCCACACUGGGACUGAGAUACGGCCCAGACUCCUACGGGAGGCAGCAGUGGGGAAUAUUGCACAAUGGGCGCAAGCCUGAUGCAGCGACGCCGCGUGAGGGAUGACGGACUUCGGGUUGUAAACCUCUUUCAGCACCGACGAAGCGCAAGUGACGGUAGGUGCAGAAGAAGGACCGGCCAACUACGUGCCAGCAGCCGCCGUAA